This is a long non-coding RNA of Capsicum annuum, 2670 nucleotides long. RefSeq lists it as uncharacterized. Lineage: Eukaryota; Viridiplantae; Streptophyta; Magnoliopsida; Solanales; Solanaceae. The transcript is spliced from 2 exons. The record is from RefSeq and is a predicted model, not a curated record.
UUAAAAAUAAUAUAAUAAAUUACGAAACAAUUAAAAUGUAAUAUAAUAACUAAUGGGAUAAAAAAGAAAAUCCUGGAAGAGCCGGUCGCAAGCCGCUCUUCUAUAUAAUAGAUAAUAGAAAAGAAAAGAAAAGCUCGAAUUUAUUUUGUGCCCUUAUAUUUUGUCUUGGGCUUUGUAUAAUUGGGCCUUGUUGUUGCGGCGUUGUUAGAAGAGUAGGCCUACAUUCACGGCUUUUAUGGGUUUAGGUGGUCUGCGCUUGGAUUUGCAAGCGGUUAAGCCCCCAAUACGGAGAGGAACACGUCGAUUUCGCCACUUGUCACACAAUAAAUGGUCAAUUGUCUUAACCGCCAAUGAAACAUGUUGUGUUUAUCUCCUAGGAUUCUGUCCGCCGCCACGCAAGUAGGUCGGUUCACCAUCUUAUCUUAUAUAUAGCCUUCAGUUCCUCUGGAAAGAUUGGCUCAAAUGGCUAGGGUGCAGAUAACUUGAAAUUGUUCGCGUUGUUGGUUGGAUUUAUCUAUUGUAAUUAGCUGUCUGUUGAAGAUGUAUUCAGAAGUGGAGAGCAUUGUUCGUAGGAAUUGAUGUGAUGUAAUAGGGACAUAAAAAGGCCUAAUAUCAGGGGGUCUAUGUCCCGUUUAAAUUACUCUGUUACUGCUCGGGCCUUUGCCAUGUCGGGUGCGCUUGCAUGGCAGGUUCCUAUCUUUAAUAAAAAGUGGAUUUUCGGGUUUUGAGGGGGGGAGAUAGCACGGGAUUUUUUUUACCCCGGGAUCUCUCCCCUCUUGUGGUGUGUGUGUGUUUUAUGCUUUUCUGAUUCUUGUUUGCACGUUACGCUCUGCUUAUAUGUGCUUAAGUCGAUCGUCACAUGAACAAUCUUUCAACGGGCAUCCUUAAUCGGCCACCGACAUCAGGUACACAGGAUAGUUGGCAUUUUUCUGGUUGAACUCUGCUGCAACUAAUUAUAAUGAGCGUAAGACAGCAAAAAAAUAAAAUAAAAUGGAGAUUGCUAGUUUUAUUGAUCGUUCUAAAUAUAUGUUGUAACGAGGGCAACUUAAUUUGGGUUAACACAUGGUUGAUAGUUUGUGCAGUGAAGAGCCCUAGAAGAUUGAUAGUUUGUGCCAUAGAAGAUGAAUUAAUGCGUCCUCACAAGUUCAGGACAUGAAUUCCAUCAGUGGUAACAACUCCAAAUCUAAUAACCCAAAUAGCAUCUUUUUCUGUAAAACAUGCUGGGGACAAAAUACGAGUAGCAUCCUCGCGGACCUCAGGUAUGCACUAUAAGCUCGUAAUUAUGAUUCAUAAGGAACAAUCAUGUGCAAAACAAAAGCCUUGGUCCUUUAACAAUGUUUUCAACUUUUGACAAAACUAAAUUAUGGUCUACAUAUGCUUCGAUCUAUGAAUCCGGAUACGAGUUCUAUUGCAGCAGAUGUUUGGUCGAUAGUGUCUCUAUAUGAGUGAUGCGUUGCUCUUGGUUAUCAUAUAAAGUUGCGACUAUAAGAAGCUAGGCAAUUUGCGACGAAGAUUUUCGAAUUUUUAGUUUAAGGGGAACUCUAAAUUUGAAGACCAACCAAAAUCGCUUUGCGUACUGAAGUGCUGGGAUAUUGUUUGUUCAACUUAAAAAAACAAACAGCUUCAUCUGAAAAAAACUUUGGCGCUAGUAUAUUAUUUUGAGUGGGUAAUAGGGCAGAACAAUUCAACUAUGGUGAUUCUUCUGCAUCUCUAGCGGAACCAACUCUGGCAUUUAUGGGGUGGCACGAAACUGAUGGGAUAACUUCUCAUCUAAGGAUUGAAGGAUUAUGUAACUAAAGUCGAAUUAGUUUGCGAUUGAUGUAUUCUGCCAUAUGCCUGAUGAUGCUUUCAGAUGUUGUAUGAUGCUCUGGGUAACUUUUUAUGGUUAUGACCACAUCUUUGUAUAGGCCUUGAAUCUUGAUUGAUUCUAGGCCAAGGUGUUUCAUUUGGUGUCCACUGGUAACAAAUGGUUUGCAGAUCCACUGUCAUGUAGACUUGAGCGUAAGUAGAAGUCGAAGGUCGCUUUUUCGUGUAGCAAAGUUUUGGCAUUCUCUUUUGUGCUGGACCUUCUAAAGGAGAACUGCUGGUAUGCGAAAGCAUGAAUGUCUGUCGGGUCAGGUUGUUCAAGCCAUGCAAAGUGCUCAUUUGAUCGAGUUUGGUACAAGGUCAGGUCGUUCCAGCUCUGUUUAAGCUACCCACAUUGUUCGUUCGAUCGAGUUUCGUACAUGGUAUAUAUAUCUUGAAAUUGAGGAUUCGAUGGCGAAGACCAUUUGUACACUUUUCGGGUGUAUGCUUGUGCAUCUGUUGCCAUUAGAUGGUUUUCUCGUCGUCUUCGCUGGUCAAACUACAAACAUCCAGUUGUGGGAGUGUUCUGCAUGUACUUCUAUGCAAAAUGAAUUUUUAUUCAAAAUGUUCUUGUAAUUUGAGUUUUGGUGAAUGUCUUGAAGUUUAGAAUUUGGUCCCCGUUGUAAACUUUUCAGGUAUAAGUUAAUUGGAGUUUGUAUCUGUCACCGUUGAUCUGGCUUUCUCCUUUUCUUUGUAUGUUAAAUUUAUAAGCAUCCGGUUGAGACAUUUAGGUAUCUUUCUAUUCAUGUAAUUUCAGUUUUGGUACACGAUGUAUAUUCUUGAAUCUUAAAAUUUGAGUGCGAAAACCUUUUGUUUACUUUUCAG